CUAUCUAGAGGAAGUAAAAGUCGUAACAAGGUUUCCGUAGGUGAACCUGCGGAAGGAUCAUUACCGAGAGAGAGCCCGCCGUGCUCUCGGACGCAGCGGGGCGGUCCCGUCGUCAGGCCGCGUCCGGCGGAGUUUCCCUCCCGGGGGGGCCCGCCGGGCGGUUUUCCGCGACGGCCGCGGGAGAGUCGCGGUGGCGUGUGUGUGCGUGUGUGUGCCCGCGACCCUCGCGGCCGGUUCCUUGACGAGCGGGGGUCGGGGGGUGGUCGUUGCGGUGCGUCGAGGAGGAGGGGGAGGGUCUCCUUCCCCUGCCGCCUCGCGUGUUUCUGCUUCCCCCUGCCCCGCCCGACUGCGGCUCGUCCGUUGCGCCGCCUCCCGCGUUGGGGGGUUGGCUUCGGCCACGUGAGGGCGCGGGAGCCGCCCGGAGGGAAACCAGGCUCUAACGCGAGCGAGGGAGAGCCGUGGCUUGGGAGGGGCUCGGCGAGCGGCAGCCGGCCCCCCUGCAACCCUGCCUUAGCCCCCCUCCGGAAGAGACUCCAGCGGGGCGUCGGUUUCGGCCCAGUGUUGCGCGCGCCCCUGGGUCUCGGGUGCCGAGGGCGGCGCCGCCGGGUCGUGUGCCUCGUGCUGCGGCCCCGGGGCGGUGUCGUUCCCCGGUCCCGGGCUCGAGGCGCUCGGCCCCGCCGGUACCCCGGCGGCGUCCCGGACGCCGUCGGCGGCCCGUGCGCAUGCCGCUGCAUGUGCGGGCUUCGGGGGGAGGUGGCGAAAAGGGGAAGAGACCCGGCGUCGUCGCCGGGCCCCACCCUCUCCGUGUGGGCGGUUGGGGCCCCAAGGCGGCGGUGCCUCUCCUCCCCUUUGCCCCCUUCCUCCGCUCCGCCUCAGCCCGCGGUCGGGUGUCUUUUAGGUUCUCCGGGUCCGUGCUCGCCGACGCGGCCGAACCGCCUCGUCCCCACCGGUGGGGCGGGGUCGGCGGUGCCGAGGCCCCUGCCCCGGCGGCUCGAGAGGGGUCCCCUCGACGUGUGGGCCAGCGAGGGCCCCGGCGGUCAGGCGCCGGGGUCGGUCCCGCUCGCUCGAGUGAGCGUCUUCCCUCCGAGAUGGGGAAUUGGGGUUGGCGUGACCGGCCGGGUGUGCCUUGGUCGCUCGUCCCGACCGCCCCGAGAGGCCUUUCCGCCCCCAUCCUGUCCCGGGUACCUAGCGCGUUCUGGCGCGGAGGUUUAAAGAUUCGGGGGUUGCCCUCCGCUCUCCAGCGGGGUCGGUACUGUUUUCCCCCCUUCCCCGUCCGCCCUCUUCCGACGGUCUCGGGC
Molecule: long non-coding RNA, 1298 nt
Filed under: Monodelphis domestica (gray short-tailed opossum)
Lineage: Eukaryota; Metazoa; Chordata; Mammalia; Didelphimorphia; Didelphidae
Description: lncRNA (ENSMODG00000037773.1)
Rfam family: Eukaryotic small subunit ribosomal RNA (bases 1-63)
Source: RNAcentral